AAAAUCUCACCGAGCCCUCCCCUUUCACUCUUAAACGCGUGGCCAUGAUUUAAUACAUUUCCAUUACCACAUGGCAGAAUGAUCAGUAUACCAACUUUGGAAACCGGCCUAGCUACCCUAUGCUACUUGAAAAGAUGAAAAUGCGGUCUCGAGGCAACGGUUAAAUGCAUCUCUUCACUCUUAAAAUAAAUCUAGUCCUAAAAAUUUAAAAGGUUCACCUUAACCUUUCUAACGAGAAUUCCUAGGAUCGGUAACCACUUCAUCUUCUAUGUCUUCCAUCUUUGGCAUCACCGACGCGGUGGUGGGGAAACCAACAGUGGCGCCGCCGUCAGCCUUAAACACCAACCGAAUUAAACACACUUCCCUUCUCCCCUAUCUAAAACCUACUUAAAUCUCAAAUAAUGGUAAUGCUAAACCGGAUUUGAAUCGUGUCGUAUAUUCUACAAAUGAAAACCAAAGUCCGACAGAUGAUCGAUGAUUCAACAAAACAAAAAAACAAGUUUGGACAAAGUUAAAAAACCUUGGAUCCAGUUCAAUCAAUAUCAACAAGUUAAGCAAUAAGAUAUUUGAUGGUCAUUACGAAGAUGUUUAGAAGAAAAGAGAAUCUAACAACUUUCAGGAGGUCAAGCUCUUCAAGCCCUGAUUUUCGAUAUGAAAAUCAGAGUUGAAACAAAGGACUGAUCUAGCUUUAAUGGGGGUUUUCGAUUUGGAUUUUGGUCAAGAUUUGUGCAGAGUAACAACAGGUUUUUUUUCGGAUCCUUCUUACAAUGAUUGAUGGCCUUUAUAUAGAGCUUUUGGGUACGAGGUAUCUUCAUCUUCACCCUCUAUGAGCUGGCGAGCUGAUUAAGAUUUUCCCGUUGGGAAAAUCUCUCACAAAUUCUGCGUGGUCCCUUCAAACAGUAGUGGUCCCAAAAUGAAGGUUAUUGGACAACUUAUUGGUUCGUUGGUUUCUAUUAGUUUUCUUCCUAUGUAGCAUUCGGUUACAUUUGACAAAGACAGAUGAUUCUGUAUCAGCAUCGUCUUCUCUUCUAUAUCUUGUGCUCCCGUCAUGUGCUGCCUUUACCUCCAUCAAUGGCAGAACAAAACCGAUGUAUACGCAGGAUGUGCUCUGAUAUUUGGUGGUCAAUAUCAGAAUCCAUUUGAUCCAACACAAUACAAAGCAAAUCCAAUCGAGAAGGCAACGAGUAUGUGAGUCCAAUAUUUAGUUGGAGUCAGUGAACAGUCAUAAGUUUCAUAUAUGGGAUUUGCAGCCGCAACUACACCAUAAUGAGUAUUAAGUGAUGCAUGGAUCCCAGCUUUAGCAAUUAUUACAGUCUGCUGUUCCAUAACUUCGUGUCUAGCUACACGAUCUUGGUCAUUCAUUUUGCCAAAUUCAUCAAUGCAGACAACACCUCUGUCAGCAAGAACCAUUGCCCCAUCUUCUAGCCUUCUUUCUCCUGUUUCUUGAUCUGAAGUAAUUGUUGUUGUCAAACCAACCCCAGAAGAAACCCUGACCAAGUAGAUCAAAUGUAUCAUCUCCUUCAGCUAUCCUUUUUCAUGUUCUUAAGGUCUUCAGUGUUAUAGAUUGUAGCCUUAGCUUCUUUAUUGAGAAGAGCUACAUUUGUUGGUUAUGAGCACAAUCCUGAAUACCCCAUUAACGUUGCCUUUGCUUUCUCAGAAUCUUGGAGCAAUGUCGUUCGUAGUUUUUUGAAACUGGCUGUUGUGAAUCAAUGCUAAUAGACCUGUUUUGGUUAAUUGCGUUUUUUUUGUCCAGGAAUUUUGCAAGCCUUUGGCAAUCACUUAUGCUUGGUAUGUAUUAUCAGACAUGUCCUUUUCAUUGUUUGCUCUAGUCGGUGUUUCGUGGAUGAUCCAACCAUGGCUUGUGCAUUAUAUUUUCAAAAACGGUUGGUAAGGUCAUACGUACCUUGGCAAUAGAAGUCUGUCAUGUGCAUUAUGCAGGUUUGGAUUUGGUCCGCAGUAGGUUAUGUGUGUGCUGUCUUUCUUGAUUUUUUAUGGAUCGGUUGUGGGUUUGUGUAGUCAUACGUAACAGAGUAGCUUAUGGUUUACAUAACUCUAACUUGCGUUUGUGGCUUUAUUUUGUGACUUUGUGGCAAACCUUUAUCCAGAAAUCUCCCUUGGUUAGCAUGCUUCCUAUGCAUUGCAAUUUAGCAACAUAUUGCCUUGCUUUGUGCUGAAUUUGACUGAAUAAUCAUUCCGGUUAAUUCCUGAACGUUGGUUUGUUAUGACUGUUGCAUGUUUGUUUGAAAAUGCAGGAUGUUGACCACAAGGUCCCAUAGUUUCCAGUUGGUACACUUCCCAUUCAUGGUCCUUACUAGCAACAUUCACUAUCAAUCUCUCAAGGUGUCAAGACAUGACUUCAUUGUACUGUUGGUACUUAACUUGGUGCGGUCAAUGGAGUUACCUUGGCAUAGAUUCAUCUUGCGCAAAAUCCUGUACAAGAUGUUUUAUCUUUUACCCUUGCUCUUUGUCCACUCAUUGCUUUUCUCCUGAUCUGGCUGCCGUGAAGUUGUUCAAGCAUUGCAAGAUUUAUGCCGUGUGGCUUUGCAGGUGAUGCUUGUUACAAGGCUCACGUUGGUGGUGUAUUGCGCAACAUGAUUAUCACUCACCAUGGUUUGGUCGUCUCCUUGCUAAUGUUCGUGGCGUGACGGUCUUAAAACAAAUCGUGCUAUCAGGAUUGGAAACUUGAGCAGUUACACACCAGUGGCUCAACCAAAGAUCAAAGCGGAACUUGAGGAUGUGAUUAAAAUUAGGAUGAAUUGUAUUUUUGGUUAGACUUUGUACGCAUUUUUUUUCCAAACCAUGAAACAUCAUACGAAAAGGGCCCAUUGAGGUGAGGUAUGAAUGAUAGUGACAAUUCAAGUUUGGGUAAUCUAAGGCCAUGAAUUCCUUUAGUUGCUCAAAUGCCUAAAUGAACAUGAAAUUUUCCUUC
Long non-coding RNA from Lathyrus oleraceus (garden pea), 2929 nucleotides. RefSeq lists it as uncharacterized. Lineage: Eukaryota; Viridiplantae; Streptophyta; Magnoliopsida; Fabales; Fabaceae. The transcript is spliced from 3 exons. The record is from RefSeq and is a predicted model, not a curated record.